RNAcentral lists this signal recognition particle RNA (86 nucleotides) under Candidatus Faecimonas gallistercoris. Its description in RNAcentral is "signal recognition particle sRNA small type". It matches the Rfam family "Bacterial small signal recognition particle RNA". From Rfam's summary of the family: The signal recognition particle (SRP) is a universally conserved ribonucleoprotein involved in the co-translational targeting of proteins to membranes. Archaeal SRP consists of a 7S RNA and homologues of the eukaryotic SRP19 and SRP54 proteins. The record is from RNAcentral. Lineage: Bacteria; Bacillati; Bacillota; Bacilli.
UUUGUAGUGCAAUAAAAGUACUAGAAACAGGUCAGGACUGGAAAGUAGCAGCCUUAAUAGUCAACUUUUAUGUGCACUUUUCUUUU